GGCGCGGCCAAGCCGUUAAACCCCCAACUUUUUUACUAGGUUGACCUCGGAUCAGGUAGGAAUACCCGCUGAACUUAAGCAUAUCAAUAAGCGGAGGA
RNAcentral lists this ribosomal RNA (98 nucleotides) under Scytalidium circinatum. Its description in RNAcentral is "partial 28S ribosomal RNA". The stretch from base 42 to 98 matches the Rfam family "Eukaryotic large subunit ribosomal RNA", at positions 1 to 57 of the family's 3401-position model. The record is from RNAcentral. RNAcentral also lists the same sequence under 1 other name. Lineage: Eukaryota; Fungi; Ascomycota; Leotiomycetes.